UACGGAGACCUCAAGCGUUAUCCGGAAUUAUUGGGCGUAAAGCGUUCCGAUCGGUGGUUCAGUGUGUCCGUGGUUAAAGACCGAAGCUCAACUUCGUGUUUGCCAUGGAAACUAUUGAACUUGAAGAGCAAAGAGGUGGCUGGAACUCUACAAGUAGCGGUGAAAUGCGUUGAUAUGUAGGGGAACACCUAAAGCGAAGGCAGGCCACUGGGUGCUUCUUGACACUGCUAGGACGAAAGCGUGGGUAGCGAAUGGG
RNAcentral lists this ribosomal RNA (256 nucleotides) under uncultured bacterium. Its description in RNAcentral is "partial 16S ribosomal RNA". It matches the Rfam family "Bacterial small subunit ribosomal RNA", at positions 524 to 776 of the family's 1533-position model. The record is from RNAcentral.